GGGUAACCUGCCUCACACAGGGGGAUAACAGUCAGAAAUGACUGCUAAUACCGCAUAAGACCACAGCAUCGCAUGAUGCAGAGGUAAAAACUCCGGUGGUGUGAGAUGGACCCGCGUCUGAUUAGCUGGUUGGUAGGGUAAAGGCCUACCAAGGCGACGAUCAGUAGCCGACCUGAGAGGGUGACCGGCCACAUUGGGACUGAGACACGGCCCAAACUCCUACGGGAGGCAGCAGUGGGGAAUAUUGCACAAUGGGCGAAAGCCUGAUGCAGCGACGCCGCGUGAGUGAAGAAGUAUUUCGGUAUGUAAAGCUCUAUCAGCAGGGAAGAAAAUGACGGUACCUGACUAAGAAGCCCCGGCUAACUACGUGCCAGCAGCCGCGGUAAUACGUAGGGGGCAAGCGUUAUCCGGAUUUACUGGGUGUAAAGGGAGCGUAGACGGCAAUGCAAGUCUGGAGUGAAAACCCAGGGCUCAACCCUGGGACUGCUUUGGAAACUGCGUAGCUGGAGUGUUGGAGAGGUAAGUGGAAUUCCUAGU
Molecule: ribosomal RNA, 537 nt
Filed under: uncultured bacterium
Lineage: Bacteria
Description: bacterial SSU rRNA
Rfam family: Bacterial small subunit ribosomal RNA
Source: RNAcentral